GGUACCUAAUAGUGGCACAACACACAGUUACAUGCAUCAUGUUAUAAGACAUUAAAUAUCAAUCUUAUGUAGAACUUCAUCUUUGAUUUUAAAAUUUCACUUUAAAUCAGCGUCAAGAUAAUAAUAAAUUUUUUAAACUAUCAAAUAACAAUAAAAAAUAAUCCAUAAAAAAUAAUAUAUUAUAAUAAAUUUUAUUAAGAGGGAGAG
Molecule: long non-coding RNA, 207 nt
Filed under: Elaeis guineensis (African oil palm)
Lineage: Eukaryota; Viridiplantae; Streptophyta; Magnoliopsida; Arecales; Arecaceae
Description: long non-coding RNA (EGUI_LNC004304)
Source: RNAcentral